CACCAGGGAUGCCCUAGUACGGCGAGUGAAGCGGCAMCAGCUCAAAUUUGAAAUCUGGCUCCUUCGGGGUCCGAGUUGUAAUUUGCAGAGGGUGCUUUGGCGUUGGCGGCGGUCUAAGUUCCUUGGAACAGGACAUCACAGAGGGUGAGAAUCCCGUACGUGGUCGCCUGCCUUCGCCGUGUAAAGCCCCUUCGACGAGUCGAGUUGUUUGGGAAUGCAGCUCUAAAUGGGAGGUAAAUUUCUUCUAAAGCUAAAUACCGGCCAGAGACCGAUAGCGCACAAGUAGAGUGAUCGAAAGAUGAAAAGCACUUUGGAAAGAGAGUCAAACAGCACGUGAAAUUGUUAUAAGGGAAGCGCUUGCAGCCAGACUUGCCUGUAGUUGCUCACCUGGGCUUUUGCCCGGGGCACUCUUCUGCAGGCAGGCCAGCAUCAGUUUGGGCGGUCGGAUAAAGGCCUCUGACACGUACUUCCUUUCGGGGUUGACAUAUAGGGGAGGCGUAAUGCGACCAGCCUGGACUGAGGUCCGCGCAUCUGCUAGGAUGCUGGCGUAAUGGCUGUAAGCGGCCCGUCUUGAAACACGGACCAAGGAGUCUAACAUCUAUGCGAGUGUUUGGGUGUCAAGCCCGAGCGCGUAAUGAAAGUGAACGGAGGUGGGAACCCCUCGGGGCGCACCAUCGACCGAUCCUGAUGUCUUCGGAUGGAUUUGAGUAAGAGCAUAGCUGUUGGGACCCGAAAGAUGGUGAACUAUGCUUGAAUAGGGUGAAGCCAGAGGAAACUCUGGUGGAGGCUCGCAGCGGUUCUGACGUGCAAAUCGAUCGUCAAAUUU
Molecule: ribosomal RNA, 826 nt
Filed under: Periconia verrucosa
Lineage: Eukaryota; Fungi; Ascomycota; Dothideomycetes; Pleosporales; Periconiaceae
Description: partial large subunit ribosomal RNA
Source: RNAcentral